GCAUCAAUGGGGUAGUGGUAACCUGGGUCGUUGCCACCGAACAUCGACCCGCCGGGGGUUCAAUUCCCCCUUGAUGCA
Molecule: non-coding RNA, 78 nt
Organism: Termitomyces sp. T32_za158
Lineage: Eukaryota; Fungi; Basidiomycota; Agaricomycetes; Agaricales; Lyophyllaceae
Source: the annotation of a GenBank genome assembly